RNAcentral lists this unclassified non-coding RNA (348 nucleotides) under Hevea brasiliensis (rubber tree). The record is from RNAcentral. Lineage: Eukaryota; Viridiplantae; Streptophyta; Magnoliopsida; Malpighiales; Euphorbiaceae.
AUUGGGAGCUUGCGCAAUGUAAGUGAUGCCAAUUCAAGGAAUUUUUUAAUGGAUAAAUACUGGAAUUUUAAAGAACAAAUUAACUAAUUUAUACUAUGAAAUAGCAAAAAAGAAAUCUCAGCUGAAAGAGAUAAGGAUAUAGGGUGAUAGAAGUAGUCCCUGAAAUUGAUGUGGAGUGAAAGCCCACCUAUGGGUAAUUUGCAUUUUGGGCUGUUAGAAUUUAACUUCAAAGCAUGUUAAUAUUUACCAUUUGGAUUUUUCAUUGUAUAUAUGAUGCAUUUUGCACAUCUCAUUAAAUUCCUUGAUCUAAUGUGGAUUAUUUGAUGAUGUAGCUAUCACUAUUAAAUG